GUCGCCUCACGCCUUGCGCCAUCCUCCCCCUUGCUCGUGCCUGCUCGCCGCCUUGUCCUCGCCGUCCUCGGUCGCGCCAGCGUCACCACCACCAUCGAUCCUCCCCGACGCCCUCUCCGUCCUCCUCGCCACCACCAUCACCGUCCUCCUCGCCGCCGCCAUCACCGUCCUUCCCCACAAGCGUGGACGCCGUCGAUCCUUCCCGCCUCCCCGUCAUCGGUCGCGCCAGCGACGCCACCGCCACCCCAGCGCCAACCGUCAUCGGUCGCGCCAGUGACACCACCGCCGCCCCACCGCCAUCGAUUCUUGCUGCCAUCCUCGCCGCCACCAUCGCCAUCCUCCCCCACCACCUCCCCGUCCUCGGUCGCGCCAGCGACGCCACCGCCGCCCCUCCGCCACCGCCAUCGAUUUUGUCUGCCAUCGUCGUCGCCGCCAUCGCCAUCCUCCCCCACUGCGCUGCUUUCGAUUCCCCUAACCGCCCCGCGUAGCCGCCGCCAUCGUUCCUCCCCGACGCCCUCGCCGUCCUCCUCGCCACAGCCAUCACUGUCCUCCACCAGCUCCCUCCCCUACUGCCGUCCUCGCCACCGCCAUCGCCAUCCUCCCUCACCAGCUUCGACGCCGUCCAUCCUCCCCGCCGCCCUCACUGUCCUCCUCCGCCAGCGCCAUCCUCCUCCACCGCGCCGCUAUCGAUCCAACAACGAACAGGUAACAAGCCUGCCACCAGGCCUUGGUUCUGGGGUUCGCCUCUGCCUUUCCAGUCUUCGCCGACACCGCCGGUGCCUCCAUCCACCGCCGCUGGAUUGGAACUGCGCUUGUGCGCCGCCUUCGUGCCACCUAUCUGGCUUACACACAUUAAGAUAUGGAUAACAAUAUUGGAGGCUCCACACCAACAUCGUUAAGAAGAUCAUGCCCUUUUGCUGAUAUUAAUAAUGCAAGUGCUGGGGAUUCACCAAAAAAACGUAACAAUAUUGGGGUCUUCACACCAACAUCGUUAACAAAAUCAACCCCAUUUGCCGAUAUUACUAAUGCGAGCGCGGGGGAAUCACGUAUAAACAAUGGCAGUGACAGAUGCACAUCCUCCAAUGUGCCGCAAAAAGAAAAUAUGCAAAAUCUGCAAGAAGAUGGUGCUAAACUCAGCGCAUUAGAAUUAAGAAGGAAGCGUGCUAGAGAGAGGUAUGCAUCAAUGAGCCCAAAGAAAAAGGAGGCGAGGAAAAUGAAGGCCCGUGUGUACAAGCAAUUGAAGGAAGACGAAUACUCAGGAAGUGAUCAACAACACAUGAUCACACCUCGGCGUCUACCAUUUACAGUGAUCAACAAUGUAGCUCAUUAUGAUAAUAUGGAUCAUACUGGAUCCCCUUUCAGCUGCAUACUUCAAGGAGCAACACAAAACAGCCAUACACUACCUGCAAAUACAGCAGUAAACAUUACUUUCUUGGUCUGCCUCUUCUCCUGUAUAUGCCUACAUCCACUCCUUCCCCGAGUAGUCCAGGAUGAAGCAGCCAGGUCCAGGAUGAAGCAAUUCACUGUUAUGAACAAAUUCAAGACGAAGGCCUUACUUGUAAGCUGA
Molecule: long non-coding RNA, 1567 nt
Filed under: Oryza sativa Indica Group (long-grained rice)
Lineage: Eukaryota; Viridiplantae; Streptophyta; Magnoliopsida; Poales; Poaceae
Description: lncRNA OsMH63_01G019350
Source: RNAcentral